RNAcentral lists this unclassified non-coding RNA (366 nucleotides) under uncultured bacterium. Its description in RNAcentral is "contains 16S-23S intergenic spacer region". The record is from RNAcentral.
UCCCCGUUGCCGAGGCAGUCUUGCAAGAAAAAUUUAACUUGCAACGAGGGUUGCGCUCGUUAAGGGACUUAACCCUACAUCUCACGACACGAGCUGACGACGGCCAUGCAUCACCUGUCACCAGUCCAGCCGAACUGACUCUCUUGUUUCCAAGAGAUAAAACUGGGAUGUCAAGUCUUGGUAAGGUUCUUCGCGUAGCCUCGAAUUAAACCACACGCUCCACCGCUUGUGCGGGUCCCCGUCAAUUCCUUUGAGUUUUAAGCUUGCGCUCGUACUCCCCAGGCGGGAUGCUUAACGCGUUAGCUUUGCUACCGAGCGGGUCGAUACGCCCAACAGCUAGCAUCCAUCGUUUACGGCGUGGACUAC